UGAAUUUCGGGGUCAGUAGGCCGGUCGUGCCUCCGGUAUGCACUCUGGUCCAGGAUUGUUGCUUCUUGAAGAACUGUAAUGCCAUUAAUUUGGUGUUGCAGGGAAACNGGACUGUUACUUUGAAAAAAUUGAGUGUUUAAAGCAGGCGAUCGCUUGAAUACAUUAGCAUGGAAUAAUGAAAUAGGACGAUCGAUCCUAUUUUGUGGUUUCUAGGAUUGACGUAAUGAUUAAUAGGGAUAGUUGGGGCAUUAGUAUUCAAUUGUCAGAGUGAAAUUCUUGGAUUUAUUGAAGACUAACUACUGCGAAAGCAUUUGCCAAGGAUGUUUUCAUUAAUCAAGAACGAAAGUUAGGGAUCGAAGACGAUCAGAUACC
RNAcentral lists this ribosomal RNA (372 nucleotides) under uncultured Glomus. RNAcentral's name for it is "SSU rRNA". It matches the Rfam family "Eukaryotic small subunit ribosomal RNA", at positions 635 to 1016 of the family's 1831-position model. Lineage: Eukaryota; Fungi; Glomeromycota; Glomeromycetes; Glomerales; Glomeraceae. The record is from RNAcentral.